UACAGAGGUCUCAAGCGUUGUUCGGAUUCAUUGGGCGUAAAGGGUGUGUAGGUGGCGCCGUAAGUCGGGCGUGAAAUUUCGGAGCUUAACUCCGAAACUGCAUUCGAUACUGCGGUGCUUGAGGACUGGAGAGGAGACUGGAAUUCAUGGUGUAGCAGUGAAAUGCGUAGAGAUCAUGAGGAAGACCAGUGGCGAAGGCGGGUCUCUGGGCCGAUACUGACGCUGAGGCACGAAGGCCAGGGGAGCAAACGGG
This 253-nucleotide ribosomal RNA is filed under the name uncultured bacterium. RNAcentral describes it as "partial 16S ribosomal RNA". It matches the Rfam family "Bacterial small subunit ribosomal RNA", at positions 524 to 776 of the family's 1533-position model. The record is from RNAcentral.